AUGAAAAUAAUCCAUGAAGCUAUUGACAUGAUACGUGAGCUGCUGAAGUAUAUUGACUCUUCUCCUUCAAGACUUCAAGAUUUCAAUACAAUUGCAAGUGGGAUGGGUCUACGUGCAAAGAAAGGCAUCUCUGUUGAUACACCAACCAGAUGGAACUCAACCUGGAAAAUGCUUGUAGAAGCAUUGACGUACAAAUCUGUCCUCACUAGUUAUGCCAAUAGAAAGAUGAUAGAGUCUCCAAGUGAGGAAGAAUGGGAGAAGGCAAAAGCUAUUUGUGAGUUUCUAAAAGCUUUUAAAGAGAUUACCUUGAUUGUUUCAGCUCACACAUUGAAAGAUCCGGGUUGG
RNAcentral lists this ribosomal RNA (345 nucleotides) under Triticum aestivum (bread wheat). RNAcentral describes it as "partial small subunit ribosomal RNA". Lineage: Eukaryota; Viridiplantae; Streptophyta; Magnoliopsida; Poales; Poaceae. The record is from RNAcentral.